Molecule: RNA transcript, 3188 nt
Organism: Callithrix jacchus (white-tufted-ear marmoset)
Lineage: Eukaryota; Metazoa; Chordata; Mammalia; Primates; Cebidae
Source: RefSeq, a predicted model, not a curated record
UCAUCCCUGUGUCAGUGGCUUUGUUAUGUCAGUUCCUAGCAGAGUCACUAAAAAUCCCAUCUGCAGAAUCAGGGUCACGCCAGCCUGGCCUUUCCCCCAGCCGCUGGUGGGCCCUGGCAUGGGUGAGGCCCUUCGGUGUCACGUGGCGUUGCUGAAGCAGAGCCCAAGCCUGAGGCCCAGCCCCUAGAAACAGGCAGCCAGGCCCCCGAGAGAGUGUCUGUAGCUGCCUCUUUGAAGAAGUGAGGCCAGAAGCGUCAGUGACGUUCUUCAAAAGGAAGUUUGAGACCACAAUCUGCAGAGCCGAGAGCAGCAAAGCCAGGCACAUGACAAGCAGGUUGAUACAGGGAAGUGGCCAUUGCUUUGAAAACUGAAACCAAGCCACCUCCUUAGCAGGCACAGCCCCCGAGUGGCUUCAGCUCCUCUUUGCCAUGUGUGUGCCCGCUGCAGGUCAGCUUCUCCUCAGUGAUCUUGGUUGCAAUUUGGAGGAGCAAUGCAUCUCCAUUUAGUGUGAGACCAGGAGAGGACGAUCGGGUUUUGGGGCCAGGCUCAGCGUCACCAAAGGCAGGUGAUUGUUGUGGGAGGGUGGGGUUCUUUCACUUGUUUCAAUAAAUUCCCCAACAGUUAGUUACCAGCUGGUGGUGACACCACAUGGCAGAGCAUGCCUUCCCUUCCCAGACCACACCUGCCUGCCAGGCUGACGGGACAGGACGCACCCACAGGUGCAGGGGGCCUCCCUCCCAACAAGGAAGCCCCAGCCCAUGCUCACAGUUGCCUAAAAACCUGAGGCAAUGCAUGGCAGAGCGUACCUUCCUCCCAGGAGGGCACAGCUGGACAUCCCUCUCACCCCUGGCCUUUAGUGGGGCCAGGUGAUCCACGCCACCCCUCACUGUGGCUCAUUCCCAGGCCCGGCCCUGAAAAAGCCUCCCAUGCUGUCCUCCCCGUUCUUCCCUCCCUGACAACAGCCCCACCUGGGAGCAGGAAAGGAGGGGGCAGGAAAUGUGGGUUCAGUCUUGGCGGGAGCACGCUGACUGCACACUGGAGUCCCUGCUGGGAUGGCCUGAGCAGUGCUCUGGGAUGCUGCUGAGCACACUGGCCUGGCCCACACCCCCUUCCAGAGAGUGUCAGCCAACCAAGAAAAAUGCCUCCCUGCAGAGCACAUCUGCACAUUCUGCUGGGGCAACAUGAACCCUGAGCUUGGGUUUGCUCAGCGUAGGCUGUCACUUCCUGGUGACCCUUGGCCACAUAGAAACUCUCACCUGGGGAAACGAGCAGGUCCAUGCCAGGGGCUCACCCUGCCACAAGCCACACCUGCCUGCCAGGCUGACAGGACAGGACCCACCCACAGGUGCAGGGUGGCUCCCUCCCAACAAGGAAGUGCCAGCCCAUGCUCCCAGCUGCCCAAGGGCCUGGGGCACUCGUGUGCACGACCACUAAAUCAUUCCAACUCCAGCGCAGCAUCUGGGGGAAGUCACGCAGUGCCUGCCAGCCUUGGUGAAAGUGACCAUGUACUCAACUGAGAUACUGGGUCCAUGACCCCAAGGGGAGCUCAUUCUGGUGGCUGUGGGCACAGAGGCUCUGAGCCAUCCUGCCACCUAAAGGGAUGACCCUCUCAUUUCCCGCACUCUGAGAAAAGGUCGGCCUGUGGCCCCAUCGUGGGCUUCUCAAGCCUUGGCACAAAGAACUUAGAACUUUUCAGUACAACCAAUGGCUUACAAGAGCUUAGAGGCAAAAUUCGUGUUUAGGGCAAUUGUUAGCAGCUUGGCAACACAUUUCCUAUUUGCCUUUGCUGUUAUUUGAACAACUGCUAUUACCUGGAACGGUUAUUCCCUCCUGCUGUCAGGGAAUUUUUUUCUCUGGAUUAGGAACUAGACUGACCAGGGGCUUCAGGCCCAGAUAGGUCAUUUUGGAAUGACCAAAGGGUAUCAUUGGUGGCCCCUUUAAGAAAAUAUCCUGUUUUGUCCAGGCGCGGUGGCUCACGCCUGUAAUCCCAGCACUUUGGGAGGCCAAUGUAGGAGGAUCACCUGAGGUCAGGAGUUCAAGACCAGCCUGGCUAACAUGGUGAAACCCCGUUUCUACUACACAUACAAAAAUUAGCCAGGUGUGGUGGCACAUGCCUGUAAUCCCAGCUACUUGGGAGGCUAAGACAGGAGAAUUACUUGAACCUGGGAGGUGAAGGUUGCAGUGAGUUGACAUUGCGCCAUUGCACUCCAGCCUGGGGGACAAGAGUGAGAUUUCAUCUCCAAAAAAAAAACAGAGAAAAAAUAUCCUAUUUCCAGAAGGCCCUGGAAACUUCCCCUCCCAUGCACAGUCAACUAAAUUGGCAAGAAUUCUGCCUACUCGGCUGAUAACUCUCUUGGAUGGUGACUGUUACUUGCAGGUGUGCUCUCUCCCCACCUUCCUGCUUCCUCUGUCUUAUUUAAUGUUCAGGAGCCAAAAGAGUGGAAAACAAUUAAGAGGCAACCUCAGCCUUGUCCACCCUAGUGAGGUGGUCAGACCCUGCUGGCAACGGCAGCCAUUUCUCUCGGAUGACCACUUCAGCCUUCUAGAUGACACUCUCUGCAAACAUUAUAAUUCUUGUCAACGUACUGCAAUUUGAAUUUCAUGGAAGUUCUACAUUUUUUGCUAAAAUGACUCAUUUCCCCGAUGCAGGAGGAUGAUGAAUACCCUACAGAUGGCAGCCGCUCCUGUUCUCAGGAGCCUUGUCGUUAGGAAGAAAAGGAUAAAAACCCCAAACCGGUUAUCUACUGAGCAAUCCUGAGCUGCUCUGGAAAUGUGAAAGGCAUUGGGAAGAAAAAAAGUGUCACCAAUUCUGCUGGGAAGGGGCCAGGGUGUGGGUGGGGGGUGCAGGCAGGGCUGACUUCUCACUCUCCCCUUCCCUCCCUGGCAGGUCCAUGCUGCACUCCUGCCCUUCCUCUAACGUCUCCUCGUCCUUAUCUGUGGAUCUUCCUUCUGCUCCUCUGCAGCUGAAGCUUCCUGAGGAGUUCUGGAGGCUGGGAAGUCCAUGGUCGAGCAGCUGCCUCUGGUGAGGGCUUCUUGCUGGUGGGAACUCUCUGCAGAGUCCUGAGGUGGUGCCGGCACACAUGGUAAGGAACCAAGGAAGCUUUACUAAAAUCGGAUUUCAAAUGGAGGGGCCCUACUGUGCCUACUGGAGGAGAUCAGGGAAUAAUAAAUAUUUCCUUCACUGAAAA